Long non-coding RNA from Protopterus annectens (West African lungfish), 1678 nucleotides. RefSeq lists it as uncharacterized. The transcript is spliced from 3 exons. The record is from RefSeq and is a predicted model, not a curated record. NCBI's taxonomy places the organism in Eukaryota, Metazoa, Chordata, Ceratodontiformes, Protopteridae.
GAAAUACUGGCUCCUCCAUGGACAGGAACUAUUACCAGGAUUUCCACAAAAUAUUCAUGCUUUUGGAUUUCCAAGCAGUGUUAAAAAAGUAGAUGCAGCUGUUUACCUACAGAACAAAAGAAAGAUACUUUUCUUUUCAGAUAAGAGUUACUGGAGUUAUGACAGAACCAAAAAAGCAAUGGAUAAAGGUUUUCCCAAGAACAUAGUAGAUGAUUUCCCAAGCAUUGGAAACAAAAUAGAUGCUGCAGUCAACAAUAAUGGGGGUCUGUAUUUCUUCAGUGGAGAAAAGGAGUUCCAGUAUGAUGUCAGUCGAAAGCGUGUUCUUCACACUUCAAAAGCAAACCACUGGCUUGGAUGUUAAGGAUUAGUGUCACUUGCCUAUCAAGUUCAGCAAAAUCACUGUUAGGACUACAGACUGGCAUUUUGACAUAAUUCUCACAAAUUUGAGUAGUCAAAUAAUUUUAAAACAAUUAUUUGUUAUUUUAGUAUAGACUGUUUAUACUAUAGCAUGCCUCAGCUACUGCAGAUGUCUGAAUUACAGCUUAUUCAAAAAAGGCAUAAAAUGCAGUUAUUUUAUUUUUAAAAGUGUGCUAGUUUUGUGUAAUAACAUUAUCAUUAGUUUAUUUCUGAUUAGUACUUUGCAUUUAUAUGUAAAUUUGCAGCUUUCUACACUAAUGUAAACAAUUGUUCUUAAUAUUUAGUUUUAGUCUGUGGUAUUUAUACCAAUAGUUCACUCUGUUAACAAUUAAUGCCAAUAAAAUAACAGUCUGCAUUAUAAGACAAUGCAAGAAAUGAUGCAUAUGGAUUACAGGACUUUAACUUUAAAUGGAUAGUGAUGUUUAUGGAUUCUGCCUUCAGCACACAACUUGAUACUGGUGUAGCCUUGAUAAGGGACAUAGUAUAUGACAGGAGAACUGCUAAUUUAUUCAAUGUCCAUUUGAGUGAUAUGAACAGACUGACUGGAACUUUAACCAAAGCUGAUUAUAUCCAGUUUAAAGUAACUCAAAGUAAUAUAUAUGGAGCACAAUGACUACCAUGGAGUUGGAGGGAGGGAGCUUCCCUAUUGGUGUUUGUUCUCACUAACAAUCACUGUCACCAGUAUUUUUAUUAUGGUCAUAAUGGUAGCAGUGAUUACUCUGUUUUUAAGAUUUAUCACUUAUCUGAGAUUGUGCAGCUGUGAAUUUAGUUUAGAUAAGUAAUUUGGCAAGGGUAAAGCAUCCAAAAAUUAUUUUAGGUACUUUUAGGGGGUUACAGUCUCAGCCAGUUACUUUUGCCUAGAUGGAGUAUCAACUACUAAUUAUCUGGGGACAUGCAGAAGAGGUAGUGGGAAAAGACUCAGCCCCUUUUCUAAAAUAGCAUAUUUUGAGUUGCCUUAAUCUCAGAUUAAUGAUAGGCUGAUUUUUUUGUUAUUAAAGUUUCUUUCUGCAUGCUAGUCUUAACAGAGCAGGCCUUGAUAUAUUGUUGGCUUGCUAAUAAAUGGAAUUUCUUGAAAUGCAACACUGCAUUAACAUAUUAUGAAAGAUACAGAAAAAUAAAACCACUAUGAGACAGCAAACAUGGUUGAGGGAAUCCAAAUAAAUACAUAUAUUUUCUGGAUUUCUUAUUUAUGGAAUUGAGACAAUUUAAUUCUUGCAGUACAUGGAUUUGUUCUUGCUGAUAUUAUUAAAGAUGAUUUUAU